UGGUUUGCCUGGGACUGAAGGGUUUCACAGGAUGUGAGACUCUCAGUGCUAAAUGCGGGAA
Molecule: microRNA precursor, 61 nt
Filed under: Ovis aries (sheep)
Lineage: Eukaryota; Metazoa; Chordata; Mammalia; Artiodactyla; Bovidae
Description: miRNA (ENSOARG00000024638.1)
Source: RNAcentral